GACGAACGCUGGCGGCGUGCUUAACACAUGCAAGUCGAACGAAGUGGCGAACGGGUGAGUAACGCGUAAUCAACCUGCCCUUCAGAGGGGGACAAAAGUUGGAAACGACUGCGAAUACCCCAUACGUAUGGAGGGGAUUGCGUCUGAUUGGCUAGUUGGAGGGGUAACGCCCAACCAAGGCGAUGAUCAGUAGCCGGGCUGAGAGGAUGAACGGCCACAUUGGGACUGGGACACGGCCCAGACUCCUACGGGAGGCAGCAGUGGGGAAUCUUCCGCAAUGGACGAAAGUCUGACGGAGCAACGCCGCGUGAGGGAUGACGGCCUUCGGGUUGUAAAGCUCUGUUAAUCGGGACGCGGUACCGGAAUAGAAAGCCACGGCUAACUACGUGCCAGCAGCCGCGGUAAUUC
This 408-nucleotide ribosomal RNA is filed under the name uncultured bacterium. RNAcentral describes it as "partial 16S ribosomal RNA". It matches the Rfam family "Bacterial small subunit ribosomal RNA", at positions 28 to 526 of the family's 1533-position model. The record is from RNAcentral.